UACGUAGGGGGCUAGCGUUGUCCGGAAUCAUUGGGCGUAAAGAGCGCGUAGGCGGCCAGGCAAGUCCGGUGUGAAAGUCACAGGCUCAACCUGUGAAUGCCGCUGGAAACUGUCUGGCUAGAGUCCGGAAGGGGCGAGUGGAAUUCCUGGUGUAGCGGUGAAAUGCGCAGAUAUCAGGAGGAACACCUAUGGCGAAGGCAGCUCGCUGGGACGGUACUGACGCUGAGGCGCGAAAGCGUGGGGAGCGAACAGG
This 253-nucleotide ribosomal RNA is filed under the name uncultured bacterium. RNAcentral describes it as "partial 16S ribosomal RNA". It matches the Rfam family "Bacterial small subunit ribosomal RNA", at positions 524 to 776 of the family's 1533-position model. The record is from RNAcentral.